This 253-nucleotide ribosomal RNA is filed under the name uncultured bacterium. RNAcentral describes it as "partial 16S ribosomal RNA". It matches the Rfam family "Bacterial small subunit ribosomal RNA", at positions 524 to 776 of the family's 1533-position model. The record is from RNAcentral.
UACGGAGGGUGCGAGCGUUGUCCGGAAUCACUGGGCGUAAAGGGCGCGUAGGCGGCCUGAUAAGUAGGGGGUGAAAUCCUGCGGCUUAACCGCAGGGCUGCCUUCUAAACUGUCAGGCUCGAGCACAGUAGAGGCAGGUGGAAUUCCCGGUGUAGUGGUGGAAUGCGUAGAGAUCGGGAAGAACAUCAGUGGCGAAGGCGGCCUGCUGGGCUGUUCUUGACGCUGAGGCGCGAAAGCUAGGGGAGCAAACGGG